UUUUUAUCUGGGUUGCUAACUCAAUGGUAGAGUACUCGG
Molecule: transfer RNA, 39 nt
Filed under: Pseudoroegneria stipifolia
Lineage: Eukaryota; Viridiplantae; Streptophyta; Magnoliopsida; Poales; Poaceae
Description: Elymus stipifolius partial tRNA-Lys
Source: RNAcentral